UGCCAGCAGCCGCGGUAACACGUAUGGGGCGAGCGUUGUUCGGAAUCAUUGGGCGUAAAGGGCGCGCAGGCGGUUAUGCAAGCCUGGUGUGAAAGCCCCGGGCUCAACCUGGGAACUGCACCUGAUACUGCCAGUCUAGAAUACGGUAGAGGGUAGUGGAAUUUCCUGUGUAGCGGUGAAAUGCGUAGAUAUAGGAAGGAACACCAGUGGCGAAGGCGGCUUUCUGGACCGAUACUGACGCUGAGACGCGAAAGCGUGGGGAGCAAACCGGAUUAGAUA
RNAcentral lists this ribosomal RNA (279 nucleotides) under uncultured bacterium. RNAcentral's name for it is "partial 16S ribosomal RNA". It matches the Rfam family "Bacterial small subunit ribosomal RNA", at positions 506 to 784 of the family's 1533-position model. The record is from RNAcentral.